GUGUCCUCGAUAAUGCAUUGUAAACAGUCGUGAAACCCUCUCCUCUGGAAGGGGUCCCGCAAGUCUAUCCUCUUCUAAAUCCGAAGCUUACUGGCUAUUAGAGCAAAGAAAGGCGACUUCCGUGGUCCUUAUGUUCAUCGAUCUCUCAUCUGCUGCUUCUGCCUGUCUCUGAAGCACAUCAUUUCUUGGGAAGGAGAAGGAGCAGAGCGUGCUGGUGGAGGAGGAAGUUACAGACUAGCACUCCGUCACCUGGCAAUGCUGUCUGCUUGGCAACCAACUUCGUGCCCUUGAGCGAGUCACGCUACCUCUAGAGUUCAAUUUAUUCAACUGCUCACCAAAGAAACUGCAGCCAUGCCUUAUUAACAGCAAUGGUCAUUGAAAUCUCAUGAUGAAACUUUUUUUUUUUAAACUGAGUUAAUACUCCAAGACCCCAGCCCAUGAAACAAUGGUAAUCAAAUUUAUGGUAUGUCUCCUCUGUUCAUCACACAUACAGAGGUUCACUUCACAGUGAUUUUAAAUGCAUCCAGGAUAACAACAAUGGCUAAAACAAGGCCACUGGAGAGUUUAUGGACAUGGACUCGCCUUGGUUUCAGGAAUAAUUGGUUCUCAGUAGAUGACUUAGAACGGACUGGAGGAGACACAUUCAAGGGAAGACAUGGAAGAGAUGAGCUAAAUGAUAUAAUAUGAUCAAGGCCCUCACAGCAGAGUGACUGACACCUGACAUGGCGGCAUCACACUGGAUUCACCUGAUGACUCAUAGACUUCCUUCUGAUGAUGAUGCUUCCCUGAGAACAAUUUCCCACUCCACCAAUGAAGCUGAAGCUGAGGCCUCACUCAACGUUCUGAGUCACCUUUCUAAGCCAUUAGUGAGCAUGUGAACCUCUCUGGGGUGGUGACUCAUUUAAUUAGGAACAGAUAAGUGAUAUACUAUGGCUGUCAUGCUGUUCAGUAGGCUAGGGGUGGCUAAGUAAAAGAAAAAUGAGCAAUAAACACAAAUUUGGUAGUUUAUAGUUAACCCCUAGGAUUGGGACAACUUUCAGGAAUAAUCUAAAGUUAACCAACACACAGAGAACUUUUAAUAAGAACGCCACUUUUCAUCGUACAUCUUUAUGGAUCUACAUGAAUUUCACUUAUGCCAUGCUGACGUAUGUGAAAUUUGUCUUAGACAGAGUCCAGGCUCUAAAGCCAUUGUGGACAGUUCUGUCCUUUCCCAGAUCUAAUCUUCAGCAAUGUGUCUUUAUUGACCACAACGAGCAUCUCAGGAAAAUGUUCAGGCCUUUUAUAAUGUGUGUGCCCAGCUCACAAAUGUCUUCCCUCAUGACUCCUCCAAAGUGACUUUUCAGCUCCCACAGUAAAAUGGCCUUCCUAAGCGGGUCCUAUUGGGUCUGUGUUCCCCUCAGGGGCUCAGUAACGGUCCCCAACCUCUUUCACGUAGCAUCUUCAGUACUUUCCCAAAAGGUAGGAGUUUGAUCUUCUGCUUCCUUAGUUUUCAGCAGGUCUCUCUUAAAAUAGGUUUACCACGUGCUGGGGAUAGAAAGAGGGCUCAGUGGUUAAGAAUAUCUGUGGCUCUUCCAGCGGACCUGGGUCUGGUUCCCAGCAUUCAUGUGCAUCUGUGUCACCAUGCGUAACUAUUGUUCCAGGGAACCUGAAGCCUUCUUGUGACCGGAGGGCACCAGGCAUAAACAUGGCGCUUGUAAUACAUGUAGGCAAACACUCAUAUGUAUAAGAUAAAUAAAUCUAAAGAAAAUAAUAUGUGCUACAUCUUGCUACAUGUUCAAGGGCAAGGACCUCAUUCUCUCAAACUUUGAAUGCUUUAAUCCAUAAACCAAUAACUGCUACUUUGCAGGGGUCCAACAACCAUUUCUUAAAUAAGUAAUGAAUAAAUGGGUGAAUGAUAAAAAGUUGAAACUCACUAAUACUACUUCAGUUGUUUGAUUCCAAUUUAAAUAUGUGUCUACACAUACACACACACACACACACACAC
Long non-coding RNA from Mus musculus (house mouse), 1984 nucleotides. RefSeq annotates it as predicted gene, 35967. Lineage: Eukaryota; Metazoa; Chordata; Mammalia; Rodentia; Muridae. The record is from RefSeq and is a predicted model, not a curated record. The transcript is spliced from 4 exons.